AAUUGACAAUUGCAAAUGGAAAAAGCAAGUGCAAGUGCAAGUGCGCGAAAAGACGAAUCGGGCCAAGACAAGGCUAGCGACCAGCUGGCCGCAAAGUUGUCUUUUGGCUUUAAAUCAAAAAACAAGUGCAGUAUAAAAUGGCAACAGCAACAGCAACAAAAGCAGCGGCAUUUAACGGCUGUCAUUGUUGAUGGUGCAGUGGUUUUCAGCUGCGACGUUCGUGUUUGAUCAAGAUCAAGGCUGCAGUGUGUCGUGUGUGUGUGUGGGUGUGUGGGUGAGCUGGUUGCUGCCGGACAGCCCUUCAUAUUAGUUAAUGCUCAUAUUUAGCCAAGUACCAGUUUAUAACCAUUUGUGUGAGUGUGUGUGCAUAUGUGUGCUAUUACAAAUGCCAAGCACGCACAACCCUGUUGCUGCCAUUUACGGGACGGGGCGGAGCGGGGGCUGCUGGCUCUGUUGGUCAUGGCCAGGCCUGCAGCGCAGUUGCAGCGCUGUCGCAUAAAUUCUAACUGUCGUCACACACUUACACACACGCGCGCGCAUGUCAUCUAUCGCAUGCAUACAGUGGCGGACAAAAGUCAAGGCACUACUAAGAAAACACUCUUGGAGAGAAUAUCAUGAUUUGUACGGACUUUUGGUUAACCAGAGAAGGAAGGUAGCAUUCCAUUCUUUUUCGCUGUGGACAGUUUUAAUGGCAGUCGUACAUAGACUUUUGUCCGCCACUAUCGAUGUGCGAUGUGUAAGCUGCGUUUAACAAAGAUUUGCGUUGCGCUGCUUUGGACGUUAACAGCCUUGGGGCGGCUCCAACGUUUAACAUUUUUUCUUAAUAAUUUGUUUAAUCUUAAUUUAAUUGAUUGUUUGUUUUGCUGAUUUUACGCGUAUUUCGUUUCUGAAAUACCUGGCGUGCCAUUCAUUUAUUAAUCGGUUAAUAGAGACCCGGCGCCCCCAGGUACGCCCUGUCACGCCUUGUGCCGCAAGCAGCUAUAGCAAGUGAUGUACAUUUACAUGAUUUAUUUUAUUCUACAAUUUUACUACAUGUUAUAAGACAGGCUUUCAUGUUUCGAUCUCUUUCUUUCUCUCUCUCUCUCGCUGUUUGACUGAACGGCAAUUGCAGUUGUUUGACAUGGAUGUGUAGAAUCUACAUUUUUACAGCCUUUUGCUUUUACAUACAUAUAUUUCAAAAGCAACCUUACAUCUUGGCCUCUCUUUCCGUCUCAGCUUACUCGUUUCUAUCCCUCUCCAGCUUUCGUUUACAUGUUUGUGCCUCUCCCUCUUCCGCUCUGUAUUGAUGUUGCAAUUGCUUGCCAUAGUUGUAAUUUAUUUUAUUGUGUUAAGGUCAAGGCGAAUUGUAAAAUGCUUUAUAAUUACAUACAGAUGUACAUGCUCACACACACACAUACACAUAAAUACAUACAUGCAAAAACAUGUUUUCAAGUUGAAAAUGAAAUGCGAAUAAGGUUUUAUUUUCAUUUGUUUGUGUUAUUUUUAUAAUUUUUGUGUGCUGCUGCUGCCGCUGCUGCCAUGAGGAAAUGAAUUUCAAUUGAAGUUGUACAAAAAAUACAACAAAUACUGACCUCCAGUUAGCCAGCAAUUAAAACAGCAUUAUAAAAUAUCGUUUCGUACACGCAUAUGGUCAUCUCUCUCACGCCCAAGGGUCAAUGCACGUUUUAUCCUUUACCGUAAUUGAUUUACAUGCUGUUUUUUUUCGCUGAUCUCCCAUAUAACAUUUGCUUUGAUCUCAGGAUCGGUGUAUAUGUAUACCUAUACCUUACUACCAUAUAUGUAUAUUUACAUAUAGUAUGUGUGAGUGUGUGUAUGCGGGUGGCACCUGAGCGAGAAGUACGCCCACCCAACAGCUGUCGUUGCUAUCGGCCAUGGGCGUUCAACUUGUUUUUUAUGGAAAACUACUUAAAAAACAACAGAAAGAGCUACAGAGGGAACAAAAAAGCGAAGCAAAACCAAAACAAAACCGAAAACAACAACAAAAAGAUUUUCAGCCACAAAAAGUUACAAAAACCAGAGAAAAAACCAAUAAGGAGAGACGGAAAGAUACUGUGGCUGCAAAAUCGAAUUCCAAACGCAUUCUGAGCUUAUCGCAUAUGGAAUUCCUGUCAUGCACGACGACGACAACGACAACGACGACGACGACGACGAUGACGACAGUCCCCUCUUCAGUCUUCUGCUUGAAGCUGAUUCUUCUUCAGGUCCCGCCAUAACCCCCAUCUUGGGGUUCUGUGUGUCUAAUUGCAAAUGCCAAACACGUUGACAGGGGCGGCAACGGCGAACGGCAACGAACGUUGUCAAGCAGCUCAGCCCAUGUACAUGGGGGAUAUAUUGUAUGUAAAUAAUGUACACUCGUACAUACAUAGGUACUCGUACAGCAACAAAUUGAACAAUACCCACAGACCCAACCCAUGUCGGAGCCCGAAAGCGUUUAAGGCUGCGUUUUAAGUUAGGGCCUCAGAAACACACAAUCUUUGUUGCACGAAUAGACUAUUAUUAUGAGAUGAUCAAGCGUUUAACCUCAAUAGUUUUAAGAACGCACUGCAGAGACAUGCAACAGGUGCUCAUUCUUAUUUGUUUAUUGUUUAUUUGGGAAAUUGUGGUUCAAAAUUAAGGUUUUUAAGUGAAAAAAUGAAACAUCUCAUCCAUUUUCAGUGUCAUCUAUCUUCAGAAAAUCCCGCAAUGGAAUCGGAUCACCUAUUUAGGCCCUCACCCAAUUGGCCAGCGAAUGCAACCACCGCCCACACAACCGCUGAACCGCUGAACCAUCAUUCAUCUAUCUAUAAAACCCAUCGAAAUGUAUGUAUGCUUUCGCAAAAAGAAAAAAAAAAUGAUUGCAAAUGUCAAACAAAAUUUAAUAGAGCAUGAAACGGCAUGAAAUCCAUUGAAAAAAAAGAGAAGGAGAGGGAGAGAUGAGCGAAAUGAGAUGGAAAUAUAUGCGAGUGCAAAGUGUCAUCGAUUAGCUGACAGACAGCCAAUCAAUUCCAUUCCAUUUCGAUUCCAUUCGAUUCGAUGGUGACAAGUGCAUUUCUUUCAAAUGUGGCACAGCAAAGCGCUUGCUUUGGAGGAGAGCCCAGCACACAAAGAUACAAUAUGGAGAGAAUGAGAAUAGGAACACCUUGAUCGAUAGCAGAUGCCUGGGACUGGGACUGGAACUGGCACUGGCACUUGGACUGGGUUCGGGAUCGGGACCCUUGUCAAAGAAGCUUCCUGUUUGGGGUCGAUCCUGCCAAAUUGAUGAAUGCAUCCGUUUGAAGAAAGGUAGCCAGGCAGGCAGGAAGGAAGUGGCGAGUCCUCACAGAGCUUCUAACAGGUGCUUUCCCAUCAUUCCCCUGGGUCCUAAUGUGCGAUCCUCCUCCCUUUGUGUCUCUCUCUAUCUCUGACAAUUCCAAAACAAAUUAUGUAGUGUAGUGUAAAAGCUUAAACAGCGAACCCUUUUCCGCUGCCUGGUGCUUGUAGCAUUUAGCAAUUCUAAUGCCGAAAGGGAUACCGAACACUGUCCAUGCCCAAACCCUUACCCUUACCCUUACCUUAAGUGUGGUUCCAACCCAUUUGCAACACGAUCCGAUCCUCGAUCCUCUCUUUUUUUUUGCCUCUGUUUCCAGCUCUGAUCAAGAUCUGGCCCUGGAACCUUGCGGGCAGUCUAUAAAUUUAUUGCCUAAGCGCUUCUCCCUCUCUUUUGUCUUUUGUCUGCUGUUUGUUUCUGUUUCUUCACUCUGCUUAAAUGAAUUUGUCUCUAACGCCCAAUUUGGCUUUUGGCUCUUCCUCUUCCGUUGGUUUUCGUUGGGUUUUCGGAUGCGGUGUGGGGCAGCUGCUGUUGAUAGUUCGAUUUCUAAGGGUUUCAAGGUCUUUAUUAGUCCCUUCCGUCUCGGGUUACCAUCUCUCUCUCUCGUGUUGUCUGGCUCUGGGGACGCGACUUAAAAUGCAUUAAGUGCCGUGCAAUUAAGUCUUAUCGAUGCCCGAAAAUCUGCUCAUCUUGAUUGCUAUAUAUAACUAUAAAUACGUAUACUUCCAUACCCCAUACAUGCGUAUAAGUAUAUGAAUUAU
Molecule: long non-coding RNA, 4047 nt
Organism: Drosophila miranda
Lineage: Eukaryota; Metazoa; Arthropoda; Insecta; Diptera; Drosophilidae
Exons: 4
Source: RefSeq, a predicted model, not a curated record